CCUACGGGAGGCAGCAGUGAGGAAUAUUGGUCAAUGGGCGAGAGCCUGAACCAGCCAAGUCGCGUGAGGGAUGACGGUCCUAUGGAUUGUAAACCUCUUUUGUCGGGGAACAAAUGCGUCCACGUGUCUACUGAUGAGUGUACCCGAAGAAAAAGCAUCGGCAAACUCCGUGCCCGCAGCCGCGGUAAUACGGAGUAUGCGAGCGUUAUCCGGAUUUAUUGGGUUUAAAGGGUGCGUAGGCGGACAGUCAAGUCAGCGGUAAAAAUGCGGUGCUAAACGCCGUACAGCCGUUGAAACUGGCAGUCUUGAGUGGGCGAGAAGUAUGCGGAAGGCGUGGUGUAGCGGUGAAAUGCAUAGAUAGCAGGCAGAACUCCGAUUGCGAAGGCAGCAUACCGGAGCCCUAAUGACGCUGAGGCACGAAAGCGUGGGUAUCGAACAGGAUUAGAUACCCGUGUAGUC
RNAcentral lists this ribosomal RNA (459 nucleotides) under uncultured bacterium. Its description in RNAcentral is "partial 16S ribosomal RNA". It matches the Rfam family "Bacterial small subunit ribosomal RNA", at positions 338 to 795 of the family's 1533-position model. The record is from RNAcentral.